This 253-nucleotide ribosomal RNA is filed under the name uncultured bacterium. RNAcentral's name for it is "partial 16S ribosomal RNA". It matches the Rfam family "Bacterial small subunit ribosomal RNA", at positions 524 to 776 of the family's 1533-position model. The record is from RNAcentral.
UACGUAGGGUGCAAGCGUUAUCCGGAAUUAUUGGGCGUAAAGAGCUCGUAGGCGGUCUGUCGCGUCGGAUGUGAAAACCCAGGGCUCAACCCUGGGCCUGCAUUCGAUACGGGCAGACUAGAGUUCGGUAGGGGAGACUGGAAUUCCUGGUGUAGCGGUGAAAUGCGCAGAUAUCAGGAGGAACACCGGUGGCGAAGGCGGGUCUCUGGGCCGAAACUGACGCUGAGGAGCGAAAGCGUGGGGAGCAAACAGG